AGUGAACGCUGGCGGUAGGCCUAACACAUGCAAGUCGAACGGCAGCACAGUAAGAGCUUGCUCUUACGGGUGGCGAGUGGCGGACGGGUGAGGAAUACAUCGGAAUCUACUUUUUCGUGGGGGAUAACGUAGGGAAACUUACGCUAAUACCGCAUACAACCUACGGGUGAAAGCAGGGGAUCUUCGGACCUUGCGCGAUUGAAUGAGCCGAUGUCGGAUUAGCUAGUUGGCGGGGUAAAGGCCCACCAAGGCGACGAUCCGUAGCUGGUCUGAGAGGAUGAUCAGCCACACUGGAACUGAGACACGGUCCAGACUCCUACGGGAGGCAGCAGUGGGGAAUAUUGGACAAUGGGCGCAAGCCUGAUCCAGCCAUACCGCGUGGGUGAAGAAGGCCUUCGGGUUGUAAAGCCCUUUUGUUGGGAAAGAAAAGCAGCAGGUUAAUACCCCGCUGUUCUGACGGUACCCAAAGAAUAAACACCGGCUAACUUCGU
Molecule: ribosomal RNA, 491 nt
Filed under: uncultured bacterium
Lineage: Bacteria
Description: partial 16S ribosomal RNA
Rfam family: Bacterial small subunit ribosomal RNA
Source: RNAcentral